RNAcentral lists this ribosomal RNA (449 nucleotides) under uncultured bacterium. Its description in RNAcentral is "partial 16S ribosomal RNA". It matches the Rfam family "Bacterial small subunit ribosomal RNA", at positions 29 to 523 of the family's 1533-position model. The record is from RNAcentral.
AGCGAACAUUGGCGGUAGGCUUAACACAUGCAAGUCGAGCGAGGCGUAAUAGUCGAGCGGCGAACGGGUGCGUAAUACAUGGGAAUCUACCUCGAAGUGGGGGAUAACGUCCAGAAAUGGACGCUAAUACCGCAUAAUCCAUAUUGGGAAAGCGUUGCAGCGCUUUGAGAUGAGCCCAUGGCUGAUUAGCUAGUUGGUGAGGUAAUGGCUCACCAAGGCGACGAUCAGUAGCUGGUCUGAGAGGAUGACCAGCCACACUGGAACUGAGACACGGUCCAGACUCCUACGGGAGGCAGCAGUGGGAAUCUUGCGCAAUGGGGGCAACCCUGACGCAGCCAUACCGCGUGAGUGAUGAAGGUCUUCGGAUUGUAAAGCUCUUUCGGCGGGGACGACGAUGACGGUACCCGCAAAAGAAGUCACGGCUAACUUCGUGCCAGCCGCCGCCGUAA